GGUUCUAUAGCUCAGUUGGUAGAGCAUCACCUUGACAUGGUGGAGGUCACAGGUUCAAGUCCUGUUAGAGCCACCA
RNAcentral lists this transfer RNA (76 nucleotides) under Campylobacter sp. RNAcentral's name for it is "tRNA-Val". It matches the Rfam family "tRNA". Rfam says of the family: Transfer RNA (tRNA) molecules are approximately 80 nucleotides in length. Their secondary structure includes four short double-helical elements and three loops (D, anti-codon, and T loops). Lineage: Bacteria; Pseudomonadati; Campylobacterota; Epsilonproteobacteria; Campylobacterales; Campylobacteraceae. The record is from RNAcentral.